CCUACGGGAGGCAGCAGUGAGGAAUAUUGGUCAAUGGACGAGAGUCUGAACCAGCCAAGUCGCGUGAAGGAUGACUGCCCUAUGGGUUGUAAACUUCUUUUAUAUGGGAAUAAAGUGCAGUAUGUAUACUGCUUUGCAUGUACCUUAUGAAUACGGAUCGGCAAACUCCGUGCCAGCAGCCGCGGUAAUACGGAGGGUCCGAGCCUUAUCCGGAUUUAUUGGGUUUAAAGGGAGCGUAGGCGGGUUGUUAAGUCAGUUGUGAAAGUUUGCGGCUCAACCGUAAAAUUGCAGUUGAUACUGGCAGCCUUGAGUACAGUAGAGGUAGGUGGAAUUCGUGGUGUAGCGGUGAAAUGCUUAGAGAUCACGAAGAACUCCGAUUGCGAAGGCAGCCUGCUGGACUGUAACUGACGCUGAUGUUCGAAAGUGUGGGUAUCAAACAGGAUUAGAUACCCGAGUAGUC
This 460-nucleotide ribosomal RNA is filed under the name uncultured bacterium. Its description in RNAcentral is "partial 16S ribosomal RNA". It matches the Rfam family "Bacterial small subunit ribosomal RNA", at positions 338 to 795 of the family's 1533-position model. The record is from RNAcentral.